RNAcentral lists this ribosomal RNA (478 nucleotides) under uncultured Methanolinea sp. RNAcentral describes it as "bacterial SSU rRNA". It matches the Rfam family "Archaeal small subunit ribosomal RNA", at positions 862 to 1338 of the family's 1478-position model. The record is from RNAcentral. Lineage: Archaea; Methanobacteriati; Methanobacteriota; Methanomicrobia; Methanomicrobiales; Methanoregulaceae.
AGAAUUGACGGGGAGCACCACAACGGGUGGAGCUUGCGGUUUAAUUGGAUUCAACGCCGGAAAUCUUUACCGGGACCGACAGCAAUAUGAAGGCCAGGCUGAAGACUUUGCCGGAUUAGCUGAGAGGUGGUGCAUGGCCGUCGUCAGUUCGUACUGUGAAGCAUCCUGUUAAGUCAGGCAACGAGCGAGACCCACGCCAACAGUUGCCAGCAUGUCCUCCGGGACGAUGGGGACACUGUUGGGACCGCCUCUGCUAAAGAGGAGGAAGGAAUGGGCAACGGUAGGUCAGCAUGCCCCGAAUUAUCCGGGCUACACGCGGGCUACAAUGGUCAGGACAAUGGGUAUCGACACCGAGAGGUGGAGGCAAUCUCCUAAACCUGUCCUUAGUUCGGAUUGUGGGCUGCAACUCGCCCACAUGGAGCUGGAAUCCGUAGUAAUCGCGUUUCAAAAUAGCGCGGUGAAUAUGUCCCUGCUCCUU